UACGUAGGGGGGCUAGCGUUGUCCGGAAUCAUUGGGCGUAAAGAGCGUGUAGGCGGUCCGGUAAGUCCGCUGUGAAAGUCGGGGGGCUCAACCCUGGAAUGCCGGUGGAAACUGUCGGGCUGGAGUCCGGAAGAGGCGAGUGGAAUUCCUGGUGUAGCGGUGAAAUGCGCAGAUAUCAGGAGGAACACCAAUGGCGAAGGCAGCUCGCUGGGACGGUACUGACGCUGAGACGCGAAAGCGUGGGGAGCAAACAGG
RNAcentral lists this ribosomal RNA (255 nucleotides) under uncultured bacterium. Its description in RNAcentral is "partial 16S ribosomal RNA". It matches the Rfam family "Bacterial small subunit ribosomal RNA", at positions 524 to 776 of the family's 1533-position model. The record is from RNAcentral.